RNAcentral lists this ribosomal RNA (468 nucleotides) under uncultured bacterium. RNAcentral's name for it is "partial 16S ribosomal RNA". It matches the Rfam family "Bacterial small subunit ribosomal RNA", at positions 28 to 507 of the family's 1533-position model. The record is from RNAcentral.
GACGAACGCUGGCGGCGUGCUUAACACAUGCAAGUCGAACGGAAAGGCCCUGCUUUUGUGGGGUGCUCGAGUGGCGAACGGGUGAGUAACACGUGAGUAACCUGCCCUUGACUUUGGGAUAACUUCAGGAAACUGGGGCUAAUACCGGAUAGGAGCUCCUGCUGCAUGGUGGGGGUUGGAAAGUUUCGGCGGUUGGGGAUGGACUCGCGGCUUAUCAGCUUGUUGGUGGGGUAGUGGCUUACCAAGGCUUUGACGGGUAGCCGGCCUGAGAGGGUGUCCGGCCACAUUGGGACUGAGAUACGGCCCAGACUCCUACGGGAGGCAGCAGUGGGGAAUAUUGCACAAUGGGCGGAGGCCUGAUGCAGCAACGCCGCGUGCGGGAUGACGGCCUUCGGGUUGUAAACCGCUUUCGCCUGUGACGAAGCGUGAGUGACGGUAAUGGGUAAAGAAGCACCGGCUAACUACGUG